This 424-nucleotide ribosomal RNA is filed under the name Verrucomicrobiota bacterium. RNAcentral's name for it is "Verrucomicrobia bacterium partial 16S ribosomal RNA". It matches the Rfam family "Bacterial small subunit ribosomal RNA", at positions 355 to 776 of the family's 1533-position model. The record is from RNAcentral. Lineage: Bacteria; Pseudomonadati; Verrucomicrobiota.
UGAGGAAUAUUGGUCAAUGGGCGAGAGCCUGAACCAGCCAAGUAGCGUGCAGGAUGACGGCCCUAUGGGUUGUAAACUGCUUUUAUAUGGGAAUAAAGUGAGGGACGUGUCCCUUAUUGCAUGUACCAUAUGAAUAAGGACCGACUAAUUCCGUGCCAGCAGCCGCGGUAAUACGGAAGGUCCAGGCGUUAUCCGGAUUUAUUGGGUUUAAAGGGAGCGUAGGCUGUUUGUUAAGCGUGUUGUGAAAUGUAAGAGCUCAACUUUUAGAUUGCAGCGCGAACUGGCAGACUUGAGUGCGCACAACGUAGGCGGAAUUCAUGGUGUAGCGGUGAAAUGCUUAGAUAUCAUGACGAACUCCGAUUGCGAAGGCAGCUUACGGGAGCGCAACUGACGCUAAAGCUCGAAGGUGCGGGUAUCGAACAGG